This 492-nucleotide ribosomal RNA is filed under the name uncultured bacterium. RNAcentral describes it as "partial 16S ribosomal RNA". It matches the Rfam family "Bacterial small subunit ribosomal RNA", at positions 29 to 507 of the family's 1533-position model. The record is from RNAcentral.
AGUGAACGCUGGCGGUAGGCCUAACACAUGCAAGUCGAACGGCAGCACAGUAAGAGCUUGCUCUUACGGGUGGCGAGUGGCGGACGGGUGAGGAAUACAUCGGAAUCUACUUUUUCGUGGGGGAUAACGUAGGGAAACUUACGCUAAUACCGCAUACGACCUACGGGUGAAAGCAGGGGAUCUUCGGACCUUGCGCGAUUGAAUGAGCCGAUGUCGGAUUAGCUAGUUGGCGGGGUAAAGGCCCACCAAGGCGACGAUCCGUAGCUGGUCUGAGAGGAUGAUCAGCCACACUGGAACUGAGACACGGUCCAGACUCCUACGGGAGGCAGCAGUGGGGAAUAUUGGACGAUGGGCGCAAGCCUGAUCCAGCCAUACCGCGUGGGUGAAGAAGGCCUUCUGGUUGUAAAGCCCUUUUGUUGGGAAAGAAAAGCAGCAGGUUAAUACCCCGCUGUUCUGACGGUACCCAAAGAAUAAGCACCGGCUAACUUCGUG